This 410-nucleotide ribosomal RNA is filed under the name Acidobacteriota bacterium. RNAcentral describes it as "Acidobacteria bacterium partial 16S ribosomal RNA". It matches the Rfam family "Bacterial small subunit ribosomal RNA", at positions 355 to 776 of the family's 1533-position model. Lineage: Bacteria; Pseudomonadati; Acidobacteriota. The record is from RNAcentral.
UCGAGAAUCAUUCACAAUGGGGGAAACCCUGAUGGUGCGACGCCGCGUGGGGGAAUGAAGGUCUUCGGAUUGUAAACCCCUGUCAUGUGGGAGCAAAUUAAAAAGAUAGUACCACAAGAGGAAGAGACGGCUAACUCUGUGCCAGCAGCCGCGGUAAUACAGAGGUCUCAAGCGUUGUUCGGAAUCACUGGGCGUAAAGCGUGCGUAGGCGGUUUCGUAAGUCGUGUGUGAAAGGCGGGGGCUCAACCCCCGGACUGCACAUGAUACUGCUAGGCUAGAGGAAUGGAGGGGAAACCGGAAUGCUCGGUGUAGGAAUGAAUUGCGUAGAUGUCGAGAGGAACACUCGUGGCGAAGGCGGGUUCCUGGACAUUAACUGACGCUGAGGCACGAAGGCCAGGGGAGCGAAAGGG